UUUGAUCCUGGCUUCAGGACGAACGCUGGCGGCGUGCUUAACACAUGCAAGUCGAACGAUGAAGCCUAGCUUGCUAGGUGGAUUAGUGGCGAACGGGUGAGUAAUACGUGAGUGACCUACCUUUGACUCUGGGAUAAGCCUGGGAAACUGGGUCUAAUACCGGAUACGACCAAUCUCCGCAUGGGGUGUUGGUGGAAAGCGUUAUGGAGUGGUUUUAGAUGGGCUCACGGCCUAUCAGCUUGUUGGUGAGGUAAUGGCUUACCAAGGCGACGACGGGUAGCCGGCCUGAGAGGGUGACCGGCCACACUGGGACUGAGACACGGCCCAGACUCCUACGGGAGGCAGCAGUGGGGAAUAUUGCACAAUGGGCGCAAGCCUGAUGCAGCGACGCCGCGUGAGGGAUGACGGCCUUCGGGUUGUAAACCUCUGUUAGCAUCGAAGAAGCGAAAGUGACGGUAGGUGCAGAGAAAGCGCCGGCUAACUACGUGCCAGCAGCCGCGGUAAUACGUAGGGCGCGAGCGUUGUCCGGAAUUAUUGGGCGUAAAGAGCUUGUAGGCGGUUGGUCGCGUCUGCUGUGAAAGGCUGGGGCUUAACCCUGGUUUUGCAGUGGGUACGGGCUAACUAGAGUGCAGUAGGGGAGACUGGAAUUCCUGGUGUAGCGGUGGAAUGCGCAGAUAUCAGGAGGAACACCGAUGGCGAAGGCAGGUCUCUGGGCUGUAACUGACGCUGAGAAGCGAAAGCAUGGGGAGCGAACAGGAUUAGAUACCCUGGUAGUCCAUGCCGUAAACGUUGGGCACUAGGUGUGGGGGACAUUCCACGUUUUCCGCGCCGUAGCUAACGCAUUAAGUGCCCCGCCUGGGGGAGUACGGCCGCAAGGCUAAAACUCAAAGAAAUUGACGGGGGCCCGCACAAGCGGCGGAGCAUGCGGAUUAAUUCGAUGCAACGCGAAGAACCUUACCAAGGCUUGACAUAUACUGGACUGCGUCAGAGAUGGCGUUUCCCUUCGGGGCUGGUAUACAGGUGGUGCAUGGUUGUCGUCAGCUCGUGUCGUGAGAUGUUGGGUUAAGUCCCGCAACGAGCGCAACCCUCGUUCUAUGUUGCCAGCACGUGAUGGUGGGGACUCAUAGGAGACUGCCGGGGUCAAACUCGGAGGAAGGUGGGGAUGACGUCAAAUCAUCAUGCCCCUUAUGUCUUGGGCUUCACGCAUGCUACGAAUGGCCGGUACAGAGGGUUGCGAUACUGUGAGGUGGAGCUAAAUCCCUAGAAAGCCGGUCUCGAGUUCGGAUUGGGGUUCUGCGAACUCGACCCCGUGAAA
This 1315-nucleotide ribosomal RNA is filed under the name uncultured bacterium. RNAcentral's name for it is "bacterial SSU rRNA". It matches the Rfam family "Bacterial small subunit ribosomal RNA", at positions 12 to 1325 of the family's 1533-position model. The record is from RNAcentral.